RNAcentral lists this transfer RNA (96 nucleotides) under Hapsidospora chrysogenum ATCC 11550. RNAcentral's name for it is "Acremonium chrysogenum ATCC 11550 tRNA-Val". Lineage: Eukaryota; Fungi; Ascomycota; Sordariomycetes; Hypocreales; Bionectriaceae. The record is from RNAcentral.
GGUUUCGUAGUCUAGUUGGUUAUGGCAUCUCGUUAACAUGGUUAACAUAUAGCUUGGCUACCGAGAAGGUCCCCGGUUCGAGCCCGGGCGAAACCA